This 207-nucleotide ribosomal RNA is filed under the name uncultured bacterium. Its description in RNAcentral is "partial 16S ribosomal RNA". It matches the Rfam family "Bacterial small subunit ribosomal RNA", at positions 568 to 774 of the family's 1533-position model. The record is from RNAcentral.
CUCGUAGGCGGUUCGUCGCGUCCGGUGUGAAAGUCCAUCGCUUAACGGUGGAUCUGCGCCGGGUACGGGCGGGCUGGAGUGCGGUAGGGGAGACUGGAAUUCCCGGUGUAACGGUGGAAUGUGUAGAUAUCAGGAAGAACACCGGUGGCGAAGGCGGGUCUCUGGGCCGUUACUGACGCUGAGGAGCGAAAGCGUGGGGAGCGAACA